This 382-nucleotide ribosomal RNA is filed under the name uncultured bacterium. RNAcentral describes it as "bacterial SSU rRNA". It matches the Rfam family "Bacterial small subunit ribosomal RNA", at positions 29 to 437 of the family's 1533-position model. The record is from RNAcentral.
AACGAACGCUGGCGGCAGGCUUAACACAUGCAAGUCGAACGGGCACCUUCGGGUGUCAGUGGCAGACGGGUGAGUAACGCGUGGGAACGUACCCUUCGGUUCGGAAUAACCCAGGGAAACUUGGGCUAACACCGGAUACGUCCGCAAGGAGAAAGAUUUAUCGCCGAAGGAUCGGCCCGCGUCGGAUUAGCUAGUUGGUGGGUAAUGGCCCACCAAGGCGACGAUCCGUAGCUGGUCUGAGAGGAUGANCAGCCACACUGGGACUGAGACACGGCCCAGACUCCUACGGGAGGCAGCAGUGGGGAAUAUUGGACAAUGGGCGAAAGCCUGAUCCAGCCAUGCCGCGUGAGUGAAGAAGGCCUUAGGGUUGUAAAGCUCUUUC